RNAcentral lists this ribosomal RNA (863 nucleotides) under uncultured bacterium. RNAcentral describes it as "bacterial SSU rRNA". It matches the Rfam family "Bacterial small subunit ribosomal RNA", at positions 8 to 863 of the family's 1533-position model. The record is from RNAcentral.
AGAGUUUGAUCAUGGCUCAGAUUGAACGCUGGCGGCAGGCUUAACACAUGCAAGUCGAGCGGUAACAGAAAGUAGCUUGCUACUUUGCUGACGAGCGGCGGACGGGUGAGUAAUGCCUAGGAAUCUGCCUAGUAGUGGGGGAUAACUUGCCGAAAGGUAAGCUAAUACCGCAUACGUCCUACGGGAGAAAGCAGGGGACCUUCGGGCCUUGCGCUAUUAGAUGAGCCUAGGUCGGAUUAGUUAGUUGGUGAGGUAAUGGCUCACCAAGACCGCGAUCCGUAACUGGUCUGAGAGGAUGAUCAGUCACACUGGAACUGAGACACGGUCCAGACUCCUACGGGAGGCAGCAGUGGGGAAUAUUGGACAAUGGGGGCAACCCUGAUCCAGCCAUGCCGCGUGUGUGAAGAAGGUCUUAGGAUUGUAAAGCACUUUAAGUUGGGAGGAAGAGCAGUUAACUAAUACUUGAUUGUUUUGACGUUACCGACAGAAUAAGCACCGGCUAACUUCGUGCCAGCAGCCGCGGUAAUACGAAGGGUGCAAGCGUUAAUCGGAAUUACUGGGCGUAAAGCGCGCGUAGGUGGUUCGUUAAGUUAGGAGUGAAAGCCCCGGGCUCAACCUGGGAAUUGCUUCUAAAACUGGCGGACUAGAGUAUGGUAGAGGGUGGUGGAAUUUCCUGUGUAGCGGUGAAAUGCGUAGAUAUAGGAAGGAACAUCAGUGGCGAAGGCGACCACCUGGACUGAUACUGACACUGAGGUGCGAAAGCGUGGGGAGCAAACAGGAUUAGAUACCCUGGUAGUCCACGCCGUAAACGAUGAUAACUCGCUGUUGGCGAUACACAGUCAGCGGCUUAGCGAAAGCGUUAA